CCAAAAAUUAAGUCGUUAGCUUCUCAACUUCAACUGCAUCAGGAUACUGUAAAUAGGCAGGAAGCCUUGUCCACAAGUAAAAGAAUAAUAUGUUAACACACAUGUUACUUUAUCUUUCUUUCUUAUGUAGUACAGAUAAUGGCAUGAGGGCCCCAGAUUACGAUAGUAUUAACUUUCCGGUUGACAUAAAAUUGGAAAAUGUGUUUACAUUCAUGUUGGAAAAUGUGUUUACAUUCAUGUUGGAAAAUGUGUUUCCAACAUGCUUAAUGUUUUUCACAGGAAUUGUUUACAUUCAUGAAAUCUUCCAUGUAACCAAGGGAUGAUUUCUAACAUAGUAACAUGUGUGGUGUGAUUAAGAAGCUUAC
Molecule: long non-coding RNA, 365 nt
Filed under: Setaria italica (foxtail millet)
Lineage: Eukaryota; Viridiplantae; Streptophyta; Magnoliopsida; Poales; Poaceae
Description: long non-coding RNA (SITA_LNC001557)
Source: RNAcentral